AAGAAGUCCUACCACCAGUCUACCGAGCAAUAUCACCCGCUCGGUGGAAGAUCUUACCUUUGU
Molecule: microRNA precursor, 63 nt
Filed under: Bombyx mori (domestic silkworm)
Lineage: Eukaryota; Metazoa; Arthropoda; Insecta; Lepidoptera; Bombycidae
Description: mir-2774 microRNA precursor family
Rfam family: mir-2774 microRNA precursor family
Source: Rfam by way of RNAcentral